Molecule: long non-coding RNA, 250 nt
Filed under: Bos taurus (domestic cattle)
Lineage: Eukaryota; Metazoa; Chordata; Mammalia; Artiodactyla; Bovidae
Description: long non-coding RNA NONBTAT010921
Source: RNAcentral
UCACUUCUACCUGGACCCACCCCCAGUCCAACAGCAUAUGUAGCAUUUUUCUUAGUUUCCCACUCCUUUCCUGCUCCCCAAGUUGUUCUUUGUAUCCUUUAAUGCUUUAUGUGCAACUUUACAUUGCUAGCUGACUGAUGUUCGGCAAUGCCUCUGAACCGACACAGAGUAGGCCAUAGCCUCCCAAAGCCACUGCCCAUGCAUAAGCAGUACAGCCUGGCUUUUUGAAUGUAUUUUUCCUGUUUUUAUU